This 516-nucleotide long non-coding RNA is filed under the name Olea europaea subsp. europaea. Lineage: Eukaryota; Viridiplantae; Streptophyta; Magnoliopsida; Lamiales; Oleaceae. The record is from RNAcentral.
CAAGGACUCCCAAAUUUAAUUACCAACCUAACAUACCUUACAAUGUUUUAUUAACGUAACUCAAUUGAUUCCUACGUUUUACUUUGCAUGGUGACCAAGGUCCAACUUCCUGUAUAAUGGGAUUGAUUGAGAAUGCAAUAUCUGUUAUUUUUCUUUCAGGGACAUACGCGGAGUCAAUUCAUUUCUAUGUCCUCGGCACUUAUCAAAUUUAAAGCAUGGCUAUAUUUUAGAAUCUUUUCAAGGUAAUUUUUUGUUUUGAAUACCAGCACCUGAUUAUUUCUUACUUUGUCAUUGAAUUGCAACCCAUUGUGCUCUUUAUUAUGCAGCUGUGCACCUCUUCAUGAUAUUCUGGAAACAUACGAAUCGAGAAAUCUAGGAGCACGUCUGGGACACAGUUUGGGGGUACUAAACAGGACAAUAGACAAAAUUUUAACUUUCUUUCCUCUUUAAUAAUGUCAAAUCUAGCUUAUAAAACAUGCCUAGAUGUUCUGAACAAGGACUUCUUACUUGAAUGUG